UGAGCCAUUAGCUCAGCUGGGAGAGCAUCUGACUUGUAAUCAGUAGGUUGGGGGUUCAAGUCCUCUGGCCGGC
This 73-nucleotide transfer RNA is filed under the name Staphylococcus aureus. Its description in RNAcentral is "tRNA-Thr(tgt)". The stretch from base 9 to 66 matches the Rfam family "tRNA", at positions 8 to 63 of the family's 71-position model. From Rfam's summary of the family: Transfer RNA (tRNA) molecules are approximately 80 nucleotides in length. Lineage: Bacteria; Bacillati; Bacillota; Bacilli; Caryophanales; Staphylococcaceae. The record is from RNAcentral.